GGGUUGUGAGGUUAAGCGACUAAGCGUACACGGUGGAUGCCCUGGCAGUCAGAGGCGAUGAAGGACGUGCUAAUCUGCGAUAAGCGUCGGUGAGGUGAUAUGAACCGUUAUAACCGGCGAUUUCCGAAUGGGGAAACCCAGUGUGUUUCGACACACUAUCAUUAACUGAAUCCAUAGGUUAAUGAGGCGAACCGGGGGAACUGAAACAUCUAAGUACCCCGAGGAAAAGAAAUCAACCGAGAUUCCCCCAGUAGCGGCGAGCGAACGGGGAGGAGCCCAGAGCCUGAAUCAGUGUGUGUGUUAGUGGAAGCGUCUGGAAAGGCGUGCGAUACAGGGUGACAGCCCCGUACACAAAAAUGCACAUGCUGUGAGCUCGAUGAGUAGGGCGGGACACGUGGUAUCCUGUCUGAAUAUGGGGGGACCAUCCUCCAAGGCUAAAUACUCCUGACUGACCGAUAGUGAACCAGUACCGUGAGGGAAAGGCGAAAAGAACCCCGGCGAGGGGAGUGAAAAAGAACCUGAAACCGUGUACGUACAAGCAGUGGGAGGGUUAACCGAAUAGGGGAGCCGAAGGGAAACCGAGUCUUAACUGGGCGUUAAGUUGCAGGGUAUAGACCCGAAACCCGGUGAUCUAGCCAUGGGCAGGUUGAAGGUUGGGUAACACUAACUGGAGGACCGAACCGACUAAUGUUGAAAAAUUAGCGGAUGACUUGUGGCUGGGGGUGAAAGGCCAAUCAAACCGGGAGAUAGCUGGUUCUCCCCGAAAGCUAUUUAGGUAGCGCCUCGUGAACUCAUCUCCGGGGGUAGAGCACUGUUUCGGCAAGGGGGUCAUCCCGACUUACCAACCCGAUGCAAACUGCGAAUACCGGAGAAUGUUAUCACGGGAGACACACGGCGGGUGCUAACGUCCGUCGNGAAGAGGGAAACAACCCAGACCGCCAGCUAAGGUCCCAAAGUCAUGGUUAAGUGGGAAACGAUGUGGGAAGGCCCAGACAGCCAGGAUGUUGGCUUAGAAGCAGCCAUCAUUUAAAGAAAGCGUAAUAGCUCACUGGUCGAGUCGGCCUGCGCGGAAGAUGUAACGGGGCUAAACCAUGCACCGAAGCUGCGGCAGCGACGCUUAUGCGUUGUUGGGUAGGGGAGCGUUCUGUAAGCCUGUGAAGGUGGCCUGUGAGGGUUGCUGGAGGUAUCAGAAGUGCGAAUGCUGACAUAAGUAACGAUAAAGCGGGUGAAAAGCCCGCUCGCCGGAAGACCAAGGGUUCCUGUCCAACGUUAAUCGGGGCAGGGUGAGUCGACCCCUAAGGCGAGGCCGAAAGGCGUAGUCGAUGGGAAACAGGUUAAUAUUCCUGUACUUGGUGUUACUGCGAAGGGGGGACGGAGAAGGCUAUGUUGGCCGGGCGACGGUUGUCCCGGUUUAAGCGUGUAGGCUGGUUUUCCAGGCAAAUCCGUAGGUGAAGCGACUUGCUCGUGGAGCUGAAAUCAGUCGAAGAUACCAGCUGGCUGCAACUGUUUAUUAAAAACACAGCACUGUGCAAACACGAAAGUGGACGUAUACCUUGAUCGAAGCCCCGGUAAACGGCGGCCGUAACUAUAACGGUCCUAAGGUAGCGAAAUUCCUUGUCGGGUAAGUUCCGACCUGCACGAAUGGCGUAAUGAUGGCCAGGCUGUCUCCACCCGAGACUCAGUGAAAUUGAACUCGCUGUGAAGAUGCAGUGUACCCGCGGCAAGACGGAAAGACCCCGUGAACCUUUACUAUAGCUUGACACUGAACAUUGAGCCUUGAUGUGUAGGAUAGGUGGGAGGCUUUGAAGUGUGGACGCCAGUCUGCAUGGAGCCGACCUUGAAAUACCACCCUUUAAUGUUUGAUGUUCUAACGUUGACCCGUAAUCCGGGUUGCGGACAGUGUCUGGUGGGUAGUUUGACUGGGGCGGUCUCCUCCUAAAGAGUAACGGAGGAGCACGAAGGUUGGCUAAUCCUGGUCGGACAUCAGGAGGUUAGUGCAAUGGCAUAAGCCAGCUUGACUGCGAGCGUGACGGCGCGAGCAGGUGCGAAAGCAGGUCAUAGUGAUCCGGUGGUUCUGAAUGGAAGGGCCAUCGCUCAACGGAUAAAAGGUACUCCGGGGAUAACAGGCUGAUACCGCCCAAGAGUUCAUAUCGACGGCGGUGUUUGGCACCUCGAUGUCGGCUCAUCACAUCCUGGGGCUGAAGUAGGUCCCAAGGGUAUGGCUGUUCGCCAUUUAAAGUGGUACGCGAGCUGGGUUUAGAACGUCGUGAGACAGUUCGGUCCCUAUCUGCCGUGGGCGCUGGAGAACUGAGGGGGGCUGCUCCUAGUACGAGAGGACCGGAGUGGACGCAUCACUGGUGUUCGGGUUGUCAUGCCAAUGGCACUGCCCGGUAGCUAAAUGCGGAAGAGAUAAGUGCUGAAAGCAUCUAAGCACGAAACUUGCCCCGAGAUGAGUUCUCCCUGACUCCUUGAGGGUCCUGAAGGAACGUUGAAGACGACGACGUUGAUAGGCCGGGUGUGUAAGCGCAGCGAUGCGUUGAGCUAACCGGUACUAAUGAACCGUGAGGCUUAACCUUACAACGCCGAAG
This 2588-nucleotide ribosomal RNA is filed under the name Escherichia coli Nissle 1917. RNAcentral's name for it is "bacterial LSU rRNA". It matches the Rfam family "Bacterial large subunit ribosomal RNA". The record is from RNAcentral. Lineage: Bacteria; Pseudomonadati; Pseudomonadota; Gammaproteobacteria; Enterobacterales; Enterobacteriaceae.